UCACAGAUGGAGCAUGUCAGCUGCACACAGUAAAGCAGAGCAGUGCUGCAGGCCUGUGAGACACAGCCCUCAAGGAGGAGUCGCCCAACAUCUGAAUUAACUACAGCUCUCACUACCAUACUUUACGGGUGGAUGCAUAGCCACGGCAAGCUAUUAUGGCUACAAUGCACAACUAGCAGAGGAUGCAGAACAUCUGUCAGGAACGGCUGUAAGAAGAAUUGCUAGGACGGGCAGAUGCCUCAAAAACCCUUUCAGAGGCUAGAAGUGCAAGAAGCUGGUUGAGCUCCCUGGGCAAACCUCUCUUCAUUGUGAUUUGACAUCUCCUUGGGCUGGAAUUUACCACUUACAAAAGCAGAACAGAGGUUGUCAGAAGAAUGAAUUCCUGUACUCAUAUCAUUUCAAAUAAAGAGACAUCCUACCGUGACAAGAUGUGAGCUCUGAAAUGCUAUCAACUUCUGCAUGAAAAAAACCAAAGCCAAGUCCAGCCACAAAUGCACGAAACAGCUGAGAAAUUUCUCUCAACGUGUGAAACUAUCAGUAUAAUUAGAACAUACUUUUCUGCAAAUAUAUGCAGAGGUUUUUAAAGCAGCCUGAGCAGUUUCUAUAGAGCGUAAUGAAAACUGAGCACCCAAUUUACUUACAAGGCGAUAACAAUAUUAACACUGUUUAUGUAGAAGCAUAAUUAAAAAUCUUACAGAGGCAUAUGCUGUUCAAAUUACUGAACAAUAGAAAAUUUUACCAAAUUUUUAGAUGCUGUAUUUAAUUUGUUCUUAACAUUCAUAUAUAUUACUUCUCCACACCAGAAAUGCACUCUUUUGUAAAGAAAAUCCAAGCAGGGUUUUACCUAACAAGGACUGGCAAACAACAAAACUAGUUCUACGUUGAAGAGAUCCAUAAAUAUCUUCAGGGAAACAAACCUAUAAUCUUUGUGAGAUCCAUAGUAACAUGUCCAUCUCAUGGCAUGUUACACAGGAAAAGAAAUCAGUCAUUUACAAGUUAAUAUUCUCCUGUAACAUACAGUUAGGAAAUCAGCAUUUUAAAGGUUAACCUGAUUAGAAAAUUAAUAUCCCAUUGAAAUGAUGUCAUUUAAUUGUAAAUAGCUGAUUAAUUUUCUACCUACAAUACAGCAGGACCCAUUUUCAUAUUGUUCCAUACACAUCACUGAUUUGGUGAGAUUCCUCACUGAAUUUGCCUUGUGAGAGAUUUUGUUCCACUUUUCUGUCUGAAGAGAUUGACAUAAUUCAGACUUUGUUUUCUGUCCUGGAAAGUCUCGAUCAAGCUGUAGCAGCUUAGUUGUUGCCUGAGAAAGGUCAUUGUCUCUCCCAUCAUGCUGAAAUUAAAGACAGUUGGGUUUUGUUUUUUUAAGAGGACAGACGGAAUAAAACAAAAGCCAAAUUAUUCAGUUUUUGAAAUACUUAUGUGUUACUGUACACUUCGGAUUACGCCAUUUUCACAAUACAACAGUAAAAGGCAUCAAAUAAAUUUGUUAUGUUUAUGGCAUUACACUGACUGGUUUCUGUCCUCCAACACAAAAGCGACACCAUUCCAUCUAGUGUCAGACUUCAGUGGAUCUCUCUGUGCUUGCAGGGAGUAACUACAUGUAUUUUCCAGGUAGAGGUUAAGGCAGGGUUCUGCAUGAUGCAGAGUAUCCUAAACUCUUACUAAAUUUCUGUGGAAAAUAAUGAGGAAAAAUUGUGCUGAAUAAUUCACAUUCACUGUGCAAACAGCCUAAGAACUGUGAAAUACCAGAGGAAAUUGUUGGUCCUUCAGGCUAAAUGAUUGUUUAGUAGGAUAAACUGCAGCAUAUGCGUACACACAUUUUGUAAGAAAAAUGGCAGGCCUCCGUGAGCACAUUCUAGUUGUGAUAAGAAGUUAGAUCACGCAGCAACGGGCAGGUUAAAACUUUCUAGUCAUACACCAUGGAUGGAAAGGCCAAGGACAUGCUGUGUUUCUUUUGUUUCAGUAAAAGGUUAGAAAACCACAGUCAUGUGUUCAGACCAGAUAUUACAAUUUAUUUCCUUCCAUUCAGAAGUCCUUGACUUCUUUGCUAAAUGCUCUAUGCUAAAUGUUCAAUUCUUGGCAUAUUAGGGGUUCCAAUUUUUGAGUGAAAUAUUGGAAAUUAAAACAGAAUACGCUCAGUAUUAUUUCAGAGUUUUUUUCCUUAGCCUUUAGUCAGUUCUUUUGAUUUUCAUCUCUUAUUCUAUGUAUACUUAAUUUUUAGGGCAAUCUUGCAAUUUAAAACUACAAAGUAGGAAAUGUCAGUGUUACUACAGCACACAACAGUGAGAAGAUGUUACUUGUUUUGUACAUUUUAUAGACAGGGACUUCAGUUUAGUCUGCAGUUUCAUGCAGUGGGGUACUGGCUCUAUCGGUCAAAAGGUACUAGAACAAUACAAAACAAUAUAAAAAAUAACACUAAGCGAAAUUAUGCAAUUAUAUCAUUAGAGAACAAUAUUACAUUCACUAGACCUUACCUCUUAACAGUAAAGCAAUACUUUUAACUCAAUUUUCUGCUGGCACUUGAGUAAGAGGAAAUGUGUGACUCUCUGCCUAAAGCAUCCCAAAAACUCAUGAAGGAAGUCUGUAGAGGGAAUAUAUUAAGUACGAGAAUUUCACCCACUUCAAAGUAAGUUGCAUUUAUUGAAAGUUGCAUGUGUUUCCUUCUAAGGCUCCCUACUCUUAUCACGUAGGUUAAAGGAAAAGACGUUACCUUGUUUUGUAAAUUAGAUACAAGAUCCAUCAACAAAGCUUGAACACUCUUUGCAGUUCAAUAUUUUCCAUGUCCGCAUUGCCCGACAUAGCUUUCAGUUCAUCUGUUCAACUGCGCUUUGUUGCAACGUCUAAGUCAAGACACUUGCUUCCUUUCUCCAAAGUAUCAACCUGUUAUUGUACAAGAGAUGAAGUAACAAAUUUAUCUCCAUCAUUUGCCACCUACUACACACCUACACAUGUAUCUCCCUACAAGCUCCUUUAAUACUUUCCAAUUCUAUAUUGGAAUUGAUAAAUAUUGAUAUGAGGGGAGACAUACUGCCUGCCAGGUGAGCUUUGGGAACACCAGGAGGUUACCACUGGUGAUGUCUAUACCGUCACUAGAAUAUCCAAUAUCAGAAACGCUUGGAAGCACAGAAUGUUCCUGGGUCUUUCUGUCUCCCUCCUGCACAGGGGUCUUGGAUGUUGCCUGAAGGUUGUAAAAGAUUUUUUCCUCUCAUAUGUUCUGAAGAUAUGUGAACCCAAUGGGUCAUAUGAGAGAUCGACUUAGCACAAUAUGUAUUUAAAAAUGUGCUUUUUCCCUUACACUUCCCAGCCUCCAACCACUUCUAAUUCAGGGACAUGAAUCUCAGUGGAUUUCUCUUCCAUGAACAUAUUUGGUCUCCACAGACCCACAAAUUUUAGAGCCCUCUAAGAGACAUCCUUUGGCAGGGAGCUCCACAGAUAAAUAACCUGGUACUUGAAGUCCUCAUUUCUUUUGAAGCGGGUUCCCACUACCUUCACUUGAACUGAAAAGUCCAAUAUAUUUUUACCGACCAUGGAAAAGAAAUGCUCUGUCUGAUAUUCUUCAAUACAUAGAAGACCACUAUGAGCCUGAUUUCAUUGAAGAGUUUGGUGUUGAAAGACACCAGGGAUAGGGAUCCAAUUGGAUUUAACUGCCCUCUUAACCCACUCCUGUUAGAAAAGAAUCAGACUUCUCAUCUUGGGGAAAAAAGUGACAGUGGUUUUGGAAAGCCAAGUUAGUCUCAAAUAACCUUUUCCGUGUUUUCUUGGAAGUUCGGCUACAAAACCUCUUGGUAUCUCUUGAUCUCAUGCUGAACAUAAUCUUCACGACCCUUCGCUGGGAGAAGCUGACUAAUGCUGGAAGAGUGAGCUGAGUAAUUGCCUUCCUUGAGUGCCCUUUCCUGAAAUACAUUAUAAAGCCCAACUACUUUAAAAGAAAUGAAAACACAAUUAGAGAGGGUCAGCAUCUUCCACUUACAGCUGAAAGAAAACAUAUUUCACAGUCCCACAGGCUGUUCAAAGUGGCAACAGGACUGGGCUGCUGUAAAUAUGUUUGGUGCGAACCUUCUGACAGAAAAAUACCAUAAGAAAUAUAACUGAUCAGAAUGUGCUUCAUUUAUGAUUGUCAUUUUAAAUUAGUAAGUAUAGAUGAACAACUAGCUGCCUUAAAAACACUUUAGUUACUCUCACUAAAAAAAUGAAGAUAAAACUCAGAGCCAGAA
Molecule: long non-coding RNA, 4214 nt
Organism: Aquila chrysaetos chrysaetos
Lineage: Eukaryota; Metazoa; Chordata; Aves; Accipitriformes; Accipitridae
Exons: 2
Source: RefSeq, a predicted model, not a curated record